CGGGUGAGUAAUGUAUAGGUUACGUGCCUCUUAGUUCGGGAUAGCCAUUGGAAACGAUGAUUAAUACCGGAUACUCCUCUUACGAGGGAAAGAUUUAUUGCUAAGAGAUCGGCCUAUAUCGUAUCAGCUAGUUGGUGAGGUAAUGGCCCACCAAGGCAAUGACACGUAGCGGGUUUGAGAGGAUGAUCCGCCACACUGGUACUGAGACACGGACCAGACUCCUACGGGAGGCAGCAGUGAGGAAUAUUGCACAAUGGGGGAAACCCUGAUGCAGCAACGCCGCGUGGAGGAUGACGCAUUUCGGUGUGUAAACUCCUUUUAUCAGAGAAGAAGAUGACGGUAUCUGAUGAAUAAGCUCCGGCUAACUCCGUGCCAGCAGCCGCGGUAAUACGGAGGGAGCAAGCGUUAUUCGGAAUCACUGGGCGUAAAGGGCGCGUAGGCCGGUUUUUAAGUCAGGUGUGAAAUCCAAUGGCUCAACCAUUGAACUGCACUUGAAACUGGCAACCUAGAGUAUGGAAGGGGUGUCUGGAAUUAGUGGUGUAGGGGUACAAUCCGUAGAGAUCACGAGGAAUACCGAAAUCGAAGGCGAUCGGCGGGGACAUUACUGACGCUGAGGCGGUAAAGCGGGGGAAGCAAAAAGGAUUAGAUACCCGGGUAGUCCACGCCCUAAACGAUGAACACAGUCGUCGGGAGGCUUUUCCUUUCGGUGAUGCAGUUAACACAUUAAACAUUCCGCCUGGGGAGUACGGUCGCAAGAUUAAAACUCAAAGGAAUAGACGGGGACCCGCACAAGUGGUGGAGCAUGUGGUUUAAUUCGAAGAUACGCGAAGAACCUUACCUAGCCUUGACAUUGAUAGAAUCCCGUAGAGAUACUGGAGUGCCCUUCGGGGAGCUUGAAAACAGGUGCUGCACGGCUGUCGUCAGCUCGUGUCGUGAGAUGUUGGGUUAAGUCCCGCAACGAGCGCAACCCUCGUCACUAGUUACUAACGGUUCGGCCGAGGACUCUAGUGAGACUGCCUUCGUAAGGAGGAGGAAGGUGAGGACGACGUCAAGUCAUCAUGGCCCUUACGGCUAGGGCAACACACGUGCUACAAUGGCCAGGACAGUGAGACGCAAUACCGCGAGGUGGAGCAAAUCUAUAAACCUGGUCUCAGUUCCGGAUUGUAGUCUGCAACUCGACUACAUGAAGCUGAAAUCACUAGUAAUCGUAGAUCAGCCAUGCUACGGUGAAUACGUUCCCGGGUCUUGU
Molecule: ribosomal RNA, 1249 nt
Filed under: uncultured prokaryote
Description: bacterial SSU rRNA
Rfam family: Bacterial small subunit ribosomal RNA
Source: RNAcentral